This 249-nucleotide long non-coding RNA is filed under the name Setaria italica (foxtail millet). RNAcentral's name for it is "long non-coding RNA (SITA_LNC004433)". Lineage: Eukaryota; Viridiplantae; Streptophyta; Magnoliopsida; Poales; Poaceae. The record is from RNAcentral.
UGAUUUUCAUAGAUUCAGAUAUAGGAGUCCCAAUGGACUUUGUGUUCAGAAUCAAAAUCACAACAUACAUUGUGUAUAACUCAUUAAGUCAUUCCAUGACUUGAAACAGUUAGGUUGGUUGUGAUACAACCAACGGGUGAGUUCGUUCCUCGGAAGGCUUACUCCCAACCACGAUGAUUGUAUAUGUGUGUUUAUAUCAAAAUCCUAAUUGAUUUUAUAUCAUCUCUGAUCACACACAACAAAGCAUGC